UUCAAAUGAUGAAAACAAAGCAAUUGAUUUCCAUGAUGAAUAUUAUUCAACGAGCUUUUUAACACUGAUUUAU
Trichogramma pretiosum is the source of this 73-nucleotide small nucleolar RNA. The record is from RefSeq and is a predicted model, not a curated record. NCBI's taxonomy places the organism in Eukaryota, Metazoa, Arthropoda, Insecta, Hymenoptera, Trichogrammatidae.